Molecule: long non-coding RNA, 3134 nt
Organism: Zeugodacus cucurbitae (melon fly)
Lineage: Eukaryota; Metazoa; Arthropoda; Insecta; Diptera; Tephritidae
Exons: 5
Source: RefSeq, a predicted model, not a curated record
UUUUGCUAUCUGACAAAGGCUGGAGGAAGAGUGGCAAAUGUCAAAUACCCCGAGCGGCCUGGAUGUGUAAGCUGCGCACAUUAUGUGAGGACUAUUUUGGUUUCUUUAGGAGUUUUUAUAAGAUCUGUUCUUUCAUUAAUUUCACUAGUAUUAGAUUCAUCUGGGAGAAGGGUUUAUAUAAAAUAUAAAGUAAAAUUUGAAUUUUUAUAAAGUUUGUAAUAAAAGUUGGUAAUAAUUACCUUAUGUUUCAGGAAAUCUAAAUCUAGCACGGCACCGUUCAAGUCUUAACAUCCAUGCUUUUGCUGUAGUAUUUCCAUUGAACUAAUUUCGGUGAAUCCAUGUCCUUGUAAAACGAUACAACAACGUUAUGAUUCCUCAAUACAAGGUGAAAAUUAAUCAAAAAAUUCCUCCUAAUUAAACAUAUAAAAAGUUUUUAAAUUUUUAUAAUCACAAACAUUCACUUAAAUUUACCCUCUGAUUUCUAUGUUUCAGUUGCUGGUAUGGCCAACUGAGGUGCCGGUAAGUGCAAAAAUACUGCAUAUGCAUAUGCCCUCUUGCUCAUUGGCAAUGCCCUGUUGACACACGUCACGAUGAUAAACGGUUUCAAAAUCACCUAAACCAAAAGGUUUAAUUGCACGUAAAAAAGUGACAUUAAACCUAGUAUUUGGUGUGUCAAUGAUUUAUGUUCCGUGUAGCAGCGUUUGCAUCCAUAGUUCUGAAUUUGCUUGCAGCACAUAUUUCAUCGCUUCGAAAGUUCUAUGCUGUUACUAUAAGUGGCACCGAUUAGGUUGCGUACCUUUAACGCGCAGUAUGAGGUUUGAAAUAUCUGUAUGGAAAAUUUUAGAAUUCAAGGCAAGAUAAUAUUAUUAUAUUCAACAAUUAUUUACGUAUUCAAUGGUUUCGCCCUUGAUGUUGACCAUUGUUGGCGUAGCUUCUAUUGCGUGCUUCGAAUUGACAGUACAAUGAAGUAUUACUGUAUCACCCUAUUCAAUUCCAUCUUUUGGCUUUAGAAAACUUUUAUUUUACGUUUUACUUAUUUAAAAAUGCGUGCUUCAAAAAUUUAAACUUUAAUUAGGCUGCAGAUCACUGAAUUAAAUAAAACACGCAAAAUAAUACUUCACAAGCAGCCAUGAUAUAGCUCAAAACAAAACUUGUUCAAUCAAACACACGAGAACUUUGGUUGUUUCUUUCUCUCAUUCGGGGUGAUGUACGAGAGAAGAGUUGAGUUAAAUGUUUAUGCACAUUUUACCCUUUGUUUCGUAUGUGUGUAUGUAGUGGUGUUAUUAAAAUUUCUUUGAAUGUGUUGGAGUUUCAGUACCCAUGACUUGCUGGGUUGUAACGAAGGUGGUACCAGAACAGGCUGGAAUCGUCAAACGAAAUCGAUAAAUUACCGGAUUUAUCCAGACAUCGAUCGUCGUCGUUCCAGAAUGUUUGAGUGGCAAUGUUCUGCCGGCGACUAUAUAGGGGCCGACGGAUUGGCAGCAACACACAGUUCUAAUAAGGGAGUUGUCGAGUAAGGACAAUUCUAAGGAUAGAGUUGUCGAGUAAAAUGUGAACAAGUUAUAAAUUACAGUUGUAAAGUGGAGUAUUGAGUAAUAAACUGUUAAGUUAUAAGGAAUUAUAAAACAAGAUGAGCAUAUAUGUAACCAUUGAAGUUUAACUUUUAUUUGACAAUCCAGUGAUCGAACUAAGGGCAGAGUUUCAACCUAAACGACAGAUUUGGAAAUCCGUUACAAUAUGAUGGAUUAUGAUCCAUAUCACAAAGUAUAUAAAUAUUUUGAAAUCCAGAUUAUGGAUCGUGAAUCUCGUGAUAAAUAUUGAACGUGUAGCAUAUUUUGCAAUUUACAAUUCCAAAUCCGUGAAAUGCAAUAGUGCCAAAAUUUUGAGAUCAACUAUAUUCUAAAUACUAUUUUAUAAUUUAUUUAAAUUUAUUAUUCAUAUAAUUCACAUUUGCAGUAGAAUCUUUGCCAGAGCUAUGCAACUCUAAAGCCGAAGGCUUUUUUGAUAACGUACCCUACAAGACGAAGCUAACUCAUACUCCACUACACAUGCAAAGUUUUUCGACUUUUACCAACACAUACACAAUAGUAACAUUUUGUAGUUAAAUGGCAAUCUCGGUAGUUAGAAUGGCAACAAUCAUUAUCCCUAAUUUUUGUAUGUAUAAGAGAGAGAUGCACGUACUACAAUGAACCGAUCAAAAUCUCCGCCAUGGUCGCCAUUCUAAUGAAAAGAAAAUUUGAAGUGAGUGGAUAGCGGUCCUAUGGUUGACUGGGUGCUGCAAAGUAUUUUAAAGGAAUAUAACUGCAGAAAAUGGUAUUGGAAGGCAAAGCGAGCUGCAACACACAUCUGGUGCGUAGAUGCACGUACAUGCAAACACAAACAUGCAAAACUAAAAGGAGAAGCAGAACAAGGAUUAUGCCACUUUAGGCUGAUGGAUAUUUGCAAACUUCGGAAGAAAAACUAAGGCGUAAGCUAGAUACCACCCAUAUAUUCCCAUAUUGGAAGGUAUUGGUGCGGGGAAUCCUACCAGCAGUUCUUCAAGACAUACAACGGCAAUCGCUCAUCAAUCAUACAAUACAAAUUCGAAUUCGACGUAUGAUGGAAGUAGCACUCGUAGUCCUUUGUGUCAGGAAGUAACAAAAAUGAUGCACCUAGAAAUACAACACCAAAUAUGCUACAACAACAGAGUUGGUAUUAAUAUUCCCAUGCAUAUAAUAUUGGUGGAUUAUCGCCACAUGCUGUAACAAAUGUAGCAGCAGGAACAAAUAAUACAUUCCAUUUCAGAAUAAAAGUCAAAUUCGCGCAACGCAUCCCGCAAAUUACAAGGCAUGAUGUACAACAAAUUACAUCGGACUUUUGGAGUAGCAUUUUCACUACUUAUUUUAGACGUCUUAAACACAGGAGACCCUACCCUUGGAUCUACACAAUGGAUAGUUAACAUAGUAACAGAACUCAAAAAACAAUAUUGAGGCGCAGAAGUUGUUUAACCUGUUUCUGAUUUGACUAUCAUGAACUUACAAUUUAUCAUUUUCAGUUAUGAUUGUUAAUUUAUAAGUUUUGAACUUUCGCAAUAGUACUAAUGUACUAAAUUUACUAAAUUUAUUAAUUUAAAUGUAAUACAUUGUUAAAUUAGC